RNAcentral lists this unclassified non-coding RNA (177 nucleotides) under soil metagenome. Its description in RNAcentral is "partial internal transcribed spacer 1". The record is from RNAcentral.
CAAGAAGCCGAAAGGCUACUUAAAACCAUCGCGAACUUAUCCAAGUUGCUUCGGCGGGCGCGGCUCCCCUCACGGGGGGACCGCAGCCCCCCGCCUCUCAGGAGGUAAGGGGCAGGCCGCCGGAGGUACGAAACUCUGUAUUAUAGUGGUAUCUCUGAGUAUAAAACAAAUAAGUUA